Diachasma alloeum is the source of this 2619-nucleotide long non-coding RNA. RefSeq lists it as uncharacterized. The record is from RefSeq and is a predicted model, not a curated record. Lineage: Eukaryota; Metazoa; Arthropoda; Insecta; Hymenoptera; Braconidae. The transcript is spliced from 4 exons.
GCAAACUAACCGGAAAUUUCGAAUGACCAUUUAUACUGACGUCAUAUUUUUUUCAUAUAAACGAGAAAUCAGGUGAUAAUGUAGGCGUAGGAUGAGUGAAUGCAUCUGUAGACGAAAAGUAAUUUAUUUUGGAGCAUUUUUCCUCCGAAUUAAUUUUUUAUGUACGUAUGAUAGUAUGUGUCCGCAAUCAUAACCUAGAAGAGAGAACACGACGUUUACUCAUUGGAUCUGGUUAACUGAUUAAAAAUACCGGGAUGUGUAGCGGAUUACUGCACAAAUUCUGCAGCGAAGGGUUUUAAGAUGAAUUAUUUUCCGACUGAUCCUGAGAGAAGAGCUAUUUGGAUUGAAAACAUGAAUCGUGAGGAUUUUGUCCCAACUCGUCACUCUACACUGUGUUCAUUUCGAGCCUACAAUGUGGGAAAAACCUCGAGUAGAUGGUAAAAGCUAAGUAAACAUGAUGCAGUUCCUACAUUAUUUGGGAAACAUAUAAGACGUCAGAAUCCAAUAUGCGACAUGGCUUCUGAAAUUCUCAUACUGAUUCGCUUGGUAUUUUAAUACUUCCUGGUCUUAAUGUACCUGAAAUUGACGCACAGAAUUGAACUACAGCAAAUUGUCGCACUGGAGCUUUAUUUUUUGUUCCAGUUUUUAAACAUUCAUGUACACAUCUCCAUUGGCGAUGCCAAAAGCGAUUUUUCGCCCUUUACUGAGGGUUUUGAUAACUAGCCUAUGGCGGAGCCUACCAGGUGGUUGGGCGCCGGAAUGUAUGGUUAUACGAAAUUAAGAUCUUUGCCUCCCAUUACCCUAUCAUUAUUGGACUUUUGUAAAUAUGAAUAUUAAUCCAAAGUUCAAUUUGACAUUUUGUGAUAUUGGAGACUUACUAGGAGAUACUAGGAGACUAAUUCAAGCAGGAGAGGAGGUAUUAUUAGCUGAACACAUCCUCAUCUGUGGUGUCAAAAGUUAUAAACAGAAUUACGUAGGAAUUGUGUCAGCUUGUCGUCAAUCGUCACAUUGGGAUAAUUACCACAAAAUAACUAUAAAAAUUCUGUUUGAGGAAAAUAGGAGGAGAAUAAUUAGCAAAUGUACUUGUCCAGCUGACUUGGGUGAAAAAUGUAAACACAUUUUUGCGAAACUUCUAUAUAUUUAUCGGGUUCGAGUUGAUAGAUUGGAGAUGUUGAGCUGUACAGACUUGAAACAGCAAUGGGGCAAGGUGAAAUCAAAUGCUGAUUUACCCCAGAAUGAGGUAGUGAAUUUGGAGGAAUUUUGUUGCAUGAAGGUGGAGAAGGUAGAAAAAGAGAAUGACCCAAACUCCCAGAUUUUUUUUUGUUAAUACAUUGAUGACAGGUACGAUUGUAUCUCUCUCCAUUCUCGUCAAUAGCUGAAAUAUUCCAUUUUCUUGGUAUCCCAUUAUAUUUUUAUAAUUUGAUAUUCACUGUGAAUUUAUUUGAUAGCUCAUCCACAAACUGAGGCGAGAACCUUCUACCCGAGACGUCGAGGAACAAAACGCUCUUUUGACGCUGCUCUGAAUAGAAGAGCUGCUUCACUUGAAUCAGUUUGAGCUUUCUUGCAGGAACGUGUCCAUAUCCCCCUACCAUUCGAUGCUUCUCCUUCUCCUGCUUUGAAUGACGAUCUUUUUAGUUUUUACACAGAGCAUGUUGAAGUAACAGAAGCUCAGGCGGUUGAAAUUUGCAUGGCAACAAUGGGACAAGAAAAUGAUUUAUGGAGACGACACAGACAAACAAGAAUCACCGGGAGCACAUGUUAUGACUUUCGGACUUACGGGGAAAAGGGAAAUAUUGAUUGGCCAAAGAAAAUUAAUAAUCUUUUAUUUUCGUCAUUUAAGGGGACUCCAGCUAUGCGUCACGAUACCCUAACUGAACCAAAAUGUCGUGAGGAAUAUCUUGGCGAUCAUUCAAAUUUUCUCCCAUCCUCUUCUUCAAUUCUGUAACACAGAUGAUGACAGACGUCAACAAGGCAAACGAAUGUAGACCAGUGAAUGCCUUUAGUUGCUCCUCAUUCCCAAUAACUUCAUCAACCACUGAACGAUCAGUUUGUAUCUCCUUGUCAACUCGUGUUUGUGGAAUAACCGUUUGGACCGCAGCAUCCAACUUAUCGAAUUGUACUUGUACCGCUAUAUCACGACGUGGAUUACAGACUUGAACCUCUGCAUCAAAUUUAACGGGCUGAAUAUCCACUUGAACACCUGCAUUACAUCGAGUGGAAGCAUAUCCGCCGACAACACUGGCUUCUUGUGUCAACGGUGGCACACUUUCUGGGUUAUCAUCUGUAUGUAUUUCUGUAAACCAAAUUGCAAUUGGAAACUAACGGCGAGGGUCAAGAAGAUUCCAUUAUUGAAAAUGGUAGUCGGACAGUUUUUCCCCGGACAAAAUCUCCCGGACAAAAUUUCCCGGACAAAAUCUCCCUGAACAAAAUCUCCCCGGACAAUUGCUUUUUGCGAAAUUUCCCCGAAAAAUUCCUUUCAACGAGUCUUCUGAAGGGUAAAUUUUCCGCAAAUAGCAAUCCGUAUGAAUUUAAUUCUUUUGUAAUUUCAUUGAGGCUAAAGACUCGAUAAUUUCAUGUGUUCUAUUGUGCGAUUCAGUAAUAAAAACCCCUUUAAUUGAG